This 28-nucleotide non-coding RNA is filed under the name Rattus norvegicus (Norway rat). The record is from RNAcentral. Lineage: Eukaryota; Metazoa; Chordata; Mammalia; Rodentia; Muridae.
UGUUUUUGAUUUUGGUUCAGAGCUGGUU